ACAACUUUCCAGCAGUGGGAUGUCUAAGGCUCGCACAUCGGAUGAAGAACGCUGCGAACUGCGAUACGUAAUGCGAAUUGCAGAAUUCAGUGAGUCAUCGGAAAUUUUGAACGCAUAUUGCACUUCGGGUUAUGCCUGGAAGUAUGUCUGUAUCAGUGUCCGUA
RNAcentral lists this ribosomal RNA (164 nucleotides) under Globisporangium ultimum var. ultimum. RNAcentral's name for it is "5.8S ribosomal RNA". It matches the Rfam family "5.8S ribosomal RNA". From Rfam's summary of the family: 5.8S ribosomal RNA (5.8S rRNA) is a component of the large subunit of the eukaryotic ribosome. It is transcribed by RNA polymerase I as part of the 45S precursor that also contains 18S and 28S rRNA. Functionally, it is thought that 5.8S rRNA may be involved in ribosome translocation. Lineage: Eukaryota; Oomycota; Peronosporomycetes; Pythiales; Pythiaceae. The record is from RNAcentral.